GUCAGCAGAAUCGGAUGACUGUUGUCGGGCGCGCCGCUGAGCCUGCGGGGACUACGGGGAUGGCGCCGGGCUGGUGUCCCGGGUCUCCGACCUCCGGUCCUUGGCUGCCCACAGACUGCACCGGUUUUGCUCGCGGAGGGAGAUGUCCUGGGGACUGGUCCUCUAGUGGGUUCCGAAAGUGAAAGCCUGCGGACUAAACAGACCCAAAAUAAGGAGCUUCCCACUUGCCCGGGUCACUUGAAGGGCUUUCGCAUCCACCACGAAGUACAACAUACAACUUCCGAGACCCACCGUUCAGGGUUUCUCUGUAUAGUCCUGGCUGUCCUGGAACUCACUUUAUAGACCAGACUGGCCUUGAACUCAGAAAUCCGCCUGCCUCUGCCUCCCAAGUGCUGGGAUUAAAGAUGUGCACCACCACCGUCCGGCUCAUUGAAGAAUUAAAAAACAAAAAAAAACAAAAAAAAAAAACAAAAAAAAAAACAAAACCAUGGUGAAAGAGAGCUGAAGAUUUGAAGCUAAGCAGUGCUGGCAUCUUGUCUGUGUUACCAGUCCCACGAUCUCAGGAAGUUCACCCUCUUUGAGCUUUAGUAUGAAAUGGAAUUUCUGUGAAUUUAAUAAGAUGAGUGAGAGGCUGACAUACUUAACAGGUGAUAAAUAAUAUGUGGGAUAUGUAUGCAAUUCCCGAUUUUUUUUCAUAAUAUUCCUGAAGUUAUUACUGUCAGGUCCAAAAGCCUUUUGUUCAGUUAACCUCUCCUCUCACCUCCUCUGCUUGCAUAGCCCAAACCAGUCUUGAACUGAUUUCGGAGGCCAGACAGGCCUGGAAAUCAAAAUUCUCCUGCCUUAGCUUCAAUAGGGCUAGGAUUACAGGUGUGAGCCAACCAUUCUUAUCUCAGAAUACCAUUAAUAGUGAGAAAAGCCUUACAGGCUGGAGUAGAAAGUAUCACUCAGGAUGUGGUCUCGUGAUUAGAACAUAGGUGAAUUUGGAACACUCCUUGGGUCAGAAAAUGGAUAAAGAACCAGGCAACCUGGACUAUUCCUUUGAGAAAAUGUGAUAUUCUCUCAUUCUCCCGCCCCCCCCCCCGCCCCCCACAUCUGCUUUCUCAGUCCUGGGACAAAGACAUGCAUAGCAUCUGACACCACAGUGCUUUUUAAAUCAAGGUUGAGAAAACUAAGUGACUAGUGAGUAACUAUGAAAAUGAAUGAAGGGGAGGACUAGCUGUAUUGCAGCACACAUAAUCCCAGGGAUGCAGAGGUGAAGACCAGAGGAGCAGGAGUUUGAGGCCCUUUUCAGCCACACAAGUUCUAGACUAUGUGAGAGCUUGUUUCAAAAAUAAAUAAUUAAAUAAAUAAUAAAAAAAAUAGA
Molecule: long non-coding RNA, 1363 nt
Organism: Mus musculus (house mouse)
Lineage: Eukaryota; Metazoa; Chordata; Mammalia; Rodentia; Muridae
Product: predicted gene 4285
Exons: 3
Source: RefSeq, marked validated